UACGUAUGGAGCAAGCGUUAUCCGGAUUUACUGGGUGUAAAGGGAGUGUAGGUGGCCAGGCAAGUUAGAAGUGAAAGCCCGGGGCUCAACCCCGGGACUGCUUUUGAAACUGCAGGGCUAGAGUGCAGGAGGGGCAAGUGGAAUUCCUAGUGUAGCGGUGAAAUGCGUAGAUAUUAGGAGGAACACCAGUGGCGAAGGCGGCUUGCUGGACUGUAACUGACACUGAGGCUCGAAAGCGUGGGGAGCAAACAGG
Molecule: ribosomal RNA, 253 nt
Filed under: [Lactobacillus] rogosae
Lineage: Bacteria; Bacillati; Bacillota; Clostridia; Lachnospirales; Lachnospiraceae
Description: Lactobacillus rogosae partial 16S ribosomal RNA
Rfam family: Bacterial small subunit ribosomal RNA
Source: RNAcentral